Molecule: non-coding RNA, 289 nt
Filed under: Photobacterium kishitanii
Lineage: Bacteria; Pseudomonadati; Pseudomonadota; Gammaproteobacteria; Vibrionales; Vibrionaceae
Source: RNAcentral
GAUGCGAUAAAAAGUAAACAGGAUGUUUACUGGUCAGGAUGACACUAGGAUAACUUCAGGAUGAAGUAGGGAACACCUCUAGGAUUGAGGCAUAAAGGAUCACUUCAGGAUGAAGUAAAGGACACCUCCAGGAAGGAGAGGAGAGUCAGAACAGGAUGUGAUGACGGGUUAGGAUGACCACAGGAACAACUUCAGGAUGAAGUAUAAAGGACAAUGCUGACGGAACACAGCAGUCAACGGAUGGAUGCAGGGAGCAACAUAGUAGCGGGAUAGCUGCAAGCAAGACCUC